GUAGUCCGAUGUGCUCCUCGGUCGAAAUCGGACAGCGAGCGGGUGUCUUGUGGAGUCCGCGCAGUAACAAAUUAUGUUCACUUCAGUAUUGUGUCAUAAUGAGGAUUUUUUACAUCUUAUUGCACCAUAAAAGAAAUUCGUUCCUGAGGAGUUAUCAAGUUUACGAAAGAACGAGCUUUAUAAAUUUUGUAUGCCGUCUAGGCUAAUAUUUUUUGCUCCGUGUUAGGCAAAGCUUCUCGGUUAAGUUAAACUAACUUAACUAAUUUGCUUGCUUCCAUUUGUCAGAAGGAUGAAAUGAAAAAUGACUAUAUAAUGCAUGCUACUGCAGAAAACUAAUGUAGCUACUGUAAGAAAGAUGGAAGAGAAGUUUUUUUUCUUUCUAAAUUUUAAGGCAUCACAUCAGAAAGAAAUUGAUGACCCUCCAGAGAAGUGUUUAAAAGACAUCCACAUAAUGUAUAAGAGUUAGUGAAGAGAUAAUUGGGGGGGAUAUCAAUUGUUUAUGAUUCUUUAUGGUUAUUUUUUAUUUUUGUUUAAUUUUUUAUACAUUGUUUCUGUUAACACAGUCUAGUCUUGAAGCAACUGAGCAUUUCACUACAUAUUAUACUGAGUAUAACUAUAUGCAAGGCUGGUCUACAUGCGCUACUGAGGGACACUGACUUAGCCAGCUGAUUUCAUUUCGCAGAACAUACUGUAUACCAUCUGAGGCACAGUGGAGGUUGAGAACCUUUUGCAUUCCCUACUGUCUUCCCCAGCUCAUCUGGCCACCAUGUGGCUGAAUGUGCUAAGUCAGGAGCUGAGUACCUAGCAUCCCUGAUCAUUCUGGCUUUGAGGCUGGCCUUGACUAUGUUGGAUAUUUUGGUUAUAUGGUGCCCCGUGUCUGUUAUAUUUUUGUGUUCAUGUAUUUCUGUACUGGUUCUUGAUUUAUGCUUGUGUUUUAUAGUGAUGACCUGUAAUCUUUGUGCCUAAUGUCUCCUAGUGUGAGUCCUUGGUGCUUGUUAAUGACCCUCAUCUGUUUCCUAUAGGUCCUAGUACAGAGGUGGGGAACCUGUUAGCCAAUAACAGUGGGUCCAUAGGACUGGAGUUGAGAACCACUGCUUUAUUACUGACACACUGAGAGGUCAUCGCAAAAACCUGAAUCCACUGCGGCCUCCAUGGAUCAGCCUCGCCGCCCCUGUCCUAGUAUCUUGUGUUUGAGACUGGCUGAAGACCCCCUGUUAUACCUAGAGCAGUGUUUCCCAACCUGGCCCUUGGGGACCCCCAGACAGUACAUGUUUUUGCUCCCUUCCAGCUCCCUGCCAGUUAGGUCGUCUACCCCCUACUACAAAUUGAGACAAGGACGGGGAAACCUGUGGUUCCGGCUUUUUGUGGAAGUAUUGUUUCUUGGUGUGGCCUUGUCCUUUGUCUUUUGUGAGUGGUAUGGAUUUUGGCCCGGUGAUAGUGAUCUGAAGGAUUGCCAAGAAUCUGAUCAUUGUUGGAGAACUGAAGAAAAAGAAGGGUUGACCCACCAUCAUGACAGAGACAGUCAUAAAAUAGGAGAGAGUCACAGCCUCCAUAAUAACUCCAGCCACCAUAUUCACGAGCACAAUAACCCCAUGUAUCAUAAUGGUGUCAUCAUCACUGACUCCAUGACCUGCUCUAGGGCUGGCAAGGACAUACUUGAAGAUGGAGGAAAUUUGGUGGAUGCAGGGAUAGCAUCAUUGCUUUGUCUAGGAGUUACCCAUCCACACACAGCAGGUGUAGGUGGAGUGUUUUCAGGCGUCCUUUACAACCACACAACUGGAAUUUCAAAAGCAAUACGUGUCAAAUUUCAUGGUACAUCAUCAACCACCCACGGCAUCCCAGCCACUGUGCAGGGCAUCAGAUAUCUACACUCUCAGUUUGGUGGCUUUAAAUGGCAGAAAUUGUUUGUCAGCGCCAUACAACUCGCAAAGGAUGGAUUCCCCAUAGACAACAGUCUUGCACUUGCUUUAAAAUCAAAUGAAGUAAAAAUAUGUAGUUCAAAACUGUCUGAGCUUUUUUGUCACAGAAAUGGGACAGUAAAGGCCUUGGGUUCUGUUGUCACUAAUCAGAGGUUAUCUGAACUUUUGCAGAGCAUCAGUGUAAAUGAUUCCUCUUUGUUAGAAAGUCUUGCUGUGAAAUUGGCUGAAGACCUUCCUUUGACAGAAAGGCAAGAUUUUGUGACAAAUAUGCAGCAGUGUCAAGGAGAGCUCAACGCCCCUUUCACUCUCCGUGAAAAAGAAUAUACUAUUUUUGCAUCUGCUUCAUCACAUGCUGCCAGGAUUAUAUUCAAUUCAAUAAAGGGAAUCAGAGAGCAGAACACAUCACUGUGGAGUGAUGCUUCUUUCUUCACCAAUCUGUUAAACAAAACCAAGUUAACCUAUAAAAGUACUGUGGAAAAUGAAAACCUUAAAGAUAUAGCUGGCUUAAGUAUGGUGGGUAGCUUUAUUGGCAUACUAGACAACACUGGUAAUAUUUUAGUAAUCUCUUCUUCACUCAACAGUUCUUUUGGAUCAAUGCAACUCUUACCUUCCACCGGAGUCAUUUUGAGUGAUUUUAACAUGCAUCUAGAUCCCCUGGUGUCCCAGUGGAGCUGCCCAUUACUAAUAAAGUUAAAGGAUAACAAAAGUAUUGAUAAUCGGGAGGAAGAGGAAGAAGAAGAUGAAGAGCCAACCAUUUUGGUGACUGGUGGUCUAUCUGCUCCUUUUGUUGCUACCCAGAUUAUCAUUAACAGGUUAUACUUUGGAAAGCAGGCUGUUACUAGCCCAUUUCAUCCAGAUGUGAAAGGCUCAGAGCCAUUAUUAGCUUGCAUCUCUGCCAUUUUGGAUACCUCUGACAAUUAUAAGCUGUUGAUAGAAACAGAAAAUAAGUUGCAAGUUAUAAAUAAAUGCCCUGACAAAUCCCUGGCUCUCAUAAUGCAGAAACAUGUUGGCCAUGUGAUAGCCUAUGCAUUUCCGGGAGGUGAAGCUUAUACUGAUGGAUACUGAUGAAUUCCACUAGUUGAUAUAUGUAGAAAGAAGGAAUGCUGGCUAGGUGUCAUUUGUUGCUGUUAUAUAUGGAUGCUUUUAGACUGUGUCGCUUUUUCAGCUAGCUCAUAUAAAAACAAGGAGGCAAAGGACUUCCUUUGAGAAAGAGCAUUUGGAGGUCUAUAACAGCAUUUGGAGGUCUAUAACAGCAUUUGGAGGUCCAUAACAGCAUUUGGAGGUCUAUAACAGCAUUUGGAGGUCCAUAACAGUUUAUACUCAAUGCUUUUAUUUACAGUUUGACAUAGAAACAUACUGCAUUACUGAAAUCAAGAAUAUUACACAGCAGUAUAAAAACAUUAAAACACUCAAGUGAAAAUUAGAAAAAAACUUAAAAAUGGUUUGAUCUGAAUGUGGAAAUUUAGUGCAAUGUGCCAUGACACGUAAACAAAUGCUACCUCACAGGAUAUGUCUGGUUUUGGCAGGUAUUAAGUAUUUCAAAAUGAAGCACCCGUUUUAUAUAUUUCUAAAUUUUAACUUUGAAAAGCAAAUAAAUUAUAACAAAAAUAUGAAGGCUGUCCAUGCACAUUAACCUCUGAGGUACUACUGUUUGGAAGCAGGAGAGUGAAUGCCUGCCAUAUUGUUAUGGGAUGCUUUAAUGCAAAAAUUAUGAAUUAAUUUUUUAAAGUAACAUUUCUAAUAGAAAGCUGCAUGCCUGCUCUGCUAUUUUAACAACUGAGAUUAAUAUUUUAAAUAUCUUUGGAUUAUGAAAAAGUAAAUUUCAAAAGGCUUUAACAUUUACAGAAGACAUUGAAAUUCAUGCUUUUUUCUCUUUUUUGCAUUUUCAUAAGCCCACUUGCUCUUUCUGAUUUUAUACUGUUGAAUUACACAUAUGUUCUCAUCUAAAUGGUCUCUUAGUCAUACAAACUGAAUGAAAGUCCCUCUCUGUGUUAGAAUAAGUUUGUCUGUUGUAAAUUACUUCCUUACCUGUAAUUGAGUUCCACAUUGGAAAUAAAAGCCAUAUGGUUUGUGAAAUAA
Paramormyrops kingsleyae is the source of this 3998-nucleotide non-coding RNA. Lineage: Eukaryota; Metazoa; Chordata; Actinopteri; Osteoglossiformes; Mormyridae. The record is from RefSeq and is a predicted model, not a curated record.